CGAGCAGGAAAGAUGAUUGCGGGCCGAAAGGCGUGAGGAAAGUCCGAGCUUCGCAGGGCAGGAUGCCGGAUAACGUCCGGCGGGGGUGACCCUAGGGAAAGUGCCAUAGAAAAGGAAACCGCCAUCUUAGGAUGGUAAGGGUGGAAAGGUGCGGUAAGAGCGCACCAGCAGUCGGGAGACCGGCUGGCUUGGUAAACCCCAUCCGAAGCAAGACCGAAUAGGGAAGGGUUGAGGUUGCCCGCUGACCUUCCGGGUUGCGUCGCUUGAGCAGUAGAGUAAUUUACUGCCUAGAAAGAUAAUCAUCACCGCGCAAGCGGUACAGAACUCGGCUUAUUGAAUGCUCGCCGC
Non-coding RNA from Dialister sp. CAG:357, 348 nucleotides. It matches the Rfam family "Bacterial RNase P class A". From Rfam's summary of the family: Ribonuclease P (RNase P) is a ubiquitous endoribonuclease, found in archaea, bacteria and eukarya as well as chloroplasts and mitochondria. Lineage: Bacteria; Bacillati; Bacillota; Negativicutes; Veillonellales; Veillonellaceae. The record is from Rfam.